RNAcentral lists this non-coding RNA (28 nucleotides) under Mus musculus (house mouse). Lineage: Eukaryota; Metazoa; Chordata; Mammalia; Rodentia; Muridae. The record is from RNAcentral.
UUGUAAAAUACGAGUUACAUGUAUCUGC